This is a non-coding RNA of Salvelinus sp. IW2-2015, 491 nucleotides long. Lineage: Eukaryota; Metazoa; Chordata; Actinopteri; Salmoniformes; Salmonidae. The record is from RefSeq and is a predicted model, not a curated record.
UCAAAUUGAUUGAUUGAGAUGCUAACAUAAUCAAGGGCCGAUAGCCGAUAGACUAGGAAUGGGCUAAUAUCAGCCCAAAAUACCAUCCCAACCGAUUAUCGGUCGGUCUCUAGUUGGCAGCACUGUUUACUAUUUUCUUCACACUCAUCUCUAGUUGGCAUGGUCAAGUUCCUUAUUCUGCAUAGGUGUGAAGAGAAACUAUUUCCACUCCAUAACAACGGAAGUGAUACGUGCAUACUAAUGAUGCAGUGAAGAAAUUCUACUCAAACACAAUUGGGAUUUGUUUAACAAACUACAUUUAUUUUUUAACACUUCUGCAACUGCAAUAAAAAGUGUAUUUCGAAAAUAAGUUAUUCAACAGCAGAAAUGUUACAAAAAAACAAGUGCAAAUAGUAAAAGGAAUGAACAGAACAGGUGAAAAUAUAUAGGUCAAUCCUACUAGGAUUCAUCUUUUGCAUUGUUCAACAAAGUGCCUGAAAGAAAUCACGUGA